AUUGAACGCUGGCGGCAGGCCUAACACAUGCAAGUCGAGCGGAUGAAGGGAGCUUGCUCCUGGAUUCAGCGGCGGACGGGUGAGUAAUGCCUAGGAAUCUGCCUGGUAGUGGGGGAUAACGUCCGGAAACGGGCGCUAAUACCGCAUACGUCCUGAGGGAGAAAGUGGGGGAUCUUCGGACCUCACGCUAUCAGAUGAGCCUAGGUCGGAUUAGCUAGUUGGUGGGGUAAAGGCCUACCAAGGCGACGAUCCGUAACUGGUCUGAGAGGAUGAUCAGUCACACUGGAACUGAGACACGGUCCAGACUCCUACGGGAGGCAGCAGUGGGGAAUAUUGGACAAAGGGCGGAAGCCUGAUCCAGCCAUGCCGCGUGUGUGAAGAAGGUCUUCGGAUUGUAAAGCACUUUAAGUUGGGAGGAAGGGCAGUAAGUUAAUACCUUGCUGUUUUGACGUUACCAACAGAAUAAGCACCGGCUAACUUCGUG
Molecule: ribosomal RNA, 484 nt
Filed under: uncultured bacterium
Lineage: Bacteria
Description: partial 16S ribosomal RNA
Rfam family: Bacterial small subunit ribosomal RNA
Source: RNAcentral